RNAcentral lists this long non-coding RNA (204 nucleotides) under Mus spicilegus (steppe mouse). RNAcentral's name for it is "lncRNA (ENSMSIG00000014931.1)". Lineage: Eukaryota; Metazoa; Chordata; Mammalia; Rodentia; Muridae. The record is from RNAcentral.
CAAUGCACCAUGUUGGCUCUCUAGCAGAUCUGUAACUUACCACUGUCCACCUGAUGGAAACCACAGUAACAUCUUUUCCCACCACUCUGACAGCUGGUGUGUGGUAUCUAUGGAUCACAUGUGCCAGCACAGAAGAGACAGGAGUUUCCCUUGAGCUACCUGACUUCCAGAUGAGCUGCAAAAAAGGUGAGCCUGAGGUUCAAG